UUAUUAAAAGAUUCUCCCGUGCCAAGUCCAAGCCUAAAAUGAGUAAGACAGCUGCAUACCCUCCGGUGGCUGGGGAUGGCCCACAAAGUGUGGUGGAUACAAAUAGACUUUCAUAUCAUUCUUUCAUGUAUUUAUACAACAAAUAUCUAUUUUGAACCUACUAUGUGCAGAGUACUGGGAUAGGUCUUGGAGACAUAGAAUAAUAAAGCAAAGACCCCACCCCAAGAACCCCCUUCCAUUGUCUCCAAUACAAUUGUGAGUGGUCUAAAGAGGUGUUCCAGAAGCGUGAGGGGGGGUGGACGGAAGGGACAACUGUUUUGAUCAGUUACAUACUAUUAAUAAUUAUAACCACCAAAUCCAAGAAAACAGUAACACUUAGAGCCUAUAGGGAAUAAGAAAAAUAUUAAGUAUAAAUUUACAAAGAUACCCACCAGAAAGGCUAAAAUGAAAGUGUCUGACAAGAUCAAGUGUUGACGAAAAUAUAAAGCAACUGAAACUCUCAAACUCUGGGGGAAAUGUAAGUUGGUAAAACCCUGUUGUAAAAUUGGCGGUAUCUACUAAAGCUGAGCGCAUGCCAACCUAAGACCCAGCAGUUCCACCCCUGGAUACAUACACAACAGAAACAAGAGCUUAUGUCUACCAAGACAUGUGCAAGAAUGUUCCUCACUGCGCUCUUCAUACUUGCCCCAAACUGGAAUCCACCUAAAUGUCUCUCCACGGUAGAAUGGAUAUAUAAGUUGUGGUGUAGUCACACAGUAGAAUACUAGUAUACAGCAAUGAGUAUGAAUGAAAAUAUUGCUACACGUAACAAUGGAUAAAUCUCACAGGCACGAUGUUGAGCAAAAGAAGACAGUACACACAAAAGUGCUCGCUGGAUGGUUCUACUUGUAGAAAAAUAGAGAAAUAAGCAAAAUUGAUCUAUGGUGUUGGGAGUCAGCAUGGUUACUUUGGGAGGGAUAGAGCCAGGAAUGGGUGUUCUGGGGCGUGGCUCUACCUCCUGGUUUGGGUGUUGGUUUCAUGAGUAUUUCAGUUUGUAUUCAGACUUCCUGCUGGAGAUGUGGAAAUAAACCAAGAUCAUCCAAAUGAGAACAAGCAGAGGCUGUUCAUUCAGAGCUUGCAAGGGAGUCAGCCACCAUCACUUGCGUUUGGCAGGGAGGGACUCAAAGCAGGCAGGGAGUGGGAAAACUUUACGGUGAAAAAAGGAAGGGAGGCUCCAGGUGUGCUGUGAUUGGAGGUUCUUUGCCUGGGAUGCCGGAGGGGGCCUGACCAGAAGGGGGGCAUCUUCCGUGAUUGGUUGGAAGCAUAUUUGGCUUUCUCUGGUUGAUCCUGAGUUGGAGAGAGGGCAGAGUGGUUGGGGAUUGGGAAGAAGCUGGCACACCAAGUCCUGAUCAUGCUGGGCCCAUUGCUGCAGAGGUGGUGGUUUGGCUUUCCAGGCUGGUUACUGCAGAGAGUUCUAUUGUCAUAUAUGGUCUGGCCACUGUCAUUCGUAUAUUCAGUCUCUAGGAGGGAAGCGUAUGGGCCUCCACUGCUGGAAUGGGUGCCAUUGCCAUACUAUCUGAAUCACUGAUUUCCUAGCAAUCAGAUGCUGUCUUCUAUUUAAUCAAUUCGCUUGUAUUUAACAUAAGAAGAAAGAAAAAAUCUUUUCAUCAUCACAUGCAGCUGGAAAUCGGCUUCUUGCACGAGGCCUAUCCAAAGGAAUUGGGAAAGAGAGAAGCUGGUAAUCGUUGAAAGAAUUGCUCUUUUUCCUACUUGCUGUCACGAUGUCCUUAGAAUUAUGAGUCCAAGGACACUUGUUUGCAGUCAUUCUGCUAUUAUUACUUCUAGAACUUAAAAUCCUUUACCAUUUCCUUCGUUCAGCCCAUAAUCAUGAAGGUCCGAGCCUAGUGAGGCUACUGCAGUGAUGUAAACGGAGCUUUCAAUCUGGGGGCUUGUUCGGACCUCUCCCCUUUUCCCUCCUGCUUCACUCUCAGGGCGGGUGGGGGAGAGGGGUAGGGGGUUCUACUCAGAGACAAGCUACGCAGCACUCAGAGCCUGGAGGAGGCUGUCACUUUCUGGGCUGGCUCUGUGGACUCCUUCCUUCCCACCCAAUCCAGGGGUGUCAAUCUCCCCUCUGAAUUUUCAACUUCCUUAUAGUCUCGUCUCUUUAAAACAUCUUUUAGGGGCCAGCCCAGGGGCUGAGUGCUUAAGUUCACAUACUCCGCUUCGCUGGCCCAGGGUUUUGGCUGGUUCAGAUCCUGGGCGUGGACAUAUCACCGCUCAUCAGGCCGUGCUGAGGCGGCGUCCCACAUAGCAGAGCCAGAAGGACCAACAACUAGAAUAUACAACUAUGUCCUGGGCGGCUUUGGGGAGAAGAAAAAAAAAGAUUGGCAACAGAUGUUAGCUCAGGUGCCAAUCUUUAAAAAAAAAUCUUUUAAUUAUACAAGUAAUACGUGAAUAUGUGCUUGCUGUAAGACGUUAAAAUACCAAACUAUACAGUUAUAUAGGCCAGAGUUUCUCAAACUUCGGGAUAG
Long non-coding RNA from Equus caballus (horse), 2510 nucleotides. NCBI's taxonomy places the organism in Eukaryota, Metazoa, Chordata, Mammalia, Perissodactyla, Equidae. The record is from Ensembl.